RNAcentral lists this small nucleolar RNA (202 nucleotides) under Rhinolophus ferrumequinum (greater horseshoe bat). RNAcentral describes it as "Small nucleolar RNA ZL1 (ENSRFEG00010012824.1)". It matches the Rfam family "Small nucleolar RNA ZL1". From Rfam's summary of the family: Host gene TRRAP. Predicted target U2@U47. The record is from Rfam by way of RNAcentral. Lineage: Eukaryota; Metazoa; Chordata; Mammalia; Chiroptera; Rhinolophidae.
GGAGAAGCAAAGUGAUGAGCAUUACUGGCUGGAGCCCCGUGGAGGCCUGUGUGCGUGUGUGCGCUUGCGUGUAUGUGUCUCUCCUUGUCUGUGCAUGCACAUGUAUGUCCGGGAGUAUGAAUGUGUGUGACUGGUUGUAGGGAACUAGUUAUGUGCCUUCUGUUGGACCAUGACAGUCAAACUGAUAAGAUCUGAUUGCUUC